GCCCUUGUGGCGCAAUCGGUAGCGCGUAAGACUUCUAAUCUUAAGGCUGUCGGUUACCCCCACCAGGGGCU
This is a non-coding RNA of Aspergillus niger ATCC 1015, 71 nucleotides long. The record is from Rfam. Lineage: Eukaryota; Fungi; Ascomycota; Eurotiomycetes; Eurotiales; Aspergillaceae.